This 511-nucleotide ribosomal RNA is filed under the name Candida albicans. Its description in RNAcentral is "eukaryotic LSU rRNA". The stretch from base 144 to 297 matches the Rfam family "5.8S ribosomal RNA". The record is from RNAcentral. Lineage: Eukaryota; Fungi; Ascomycota; Pichiomycetes; Serinales; Debaryomycetaceae.
AGGCAACUGAGUGCUUAUUGCACCACAUGUGUUUUUCUUUGAAACAAACUUGCUUUGGCGGUGGGCCCAGCCUGCCGCCAGAGGUCUAAACUUACAACCAAUUUUUUAUCAACUUGUCACACCAGAUUAUUACUAAUAGUCAAAACUUUCAACAACGGAUCUCUUGGUUCUCGCAUCGAUGAAGAACGCAGCGAAAUGCGAUACGUAAUAUGAAUUGCAGAUAUUCGUGAAUCAUCGAAUCUUUGAACGCACAUUGCGCCCUCUGGUAUUCCGGAGGGCAUGCCUGUUUGAGCGUCGUUUCUCCCUCAAACCGCUGGGUUUGGUGUUGAGCAAUACGACUUGGGUUUGCUUGAAAGACGGUAGUGGUAAGGCGGGAUCGCUUUGACAAUGGCUUAGGUCUAACCAAAAACAUUGCUUGCGGCGGUAACGUCCACCACGUAUAUCUUCAAACUUUGACCUCAAAUCAGGUAGGACUACCCGCUGAACUUAAGCAUAUCAAAAGCCGGAGGAA